CUGGCGUGGUCUCUCCAAGCAGGCACAGCAGCCACAGGCAGCGACAGCCAAAGCUGGGAGCGCAUGGUUGUUCCGUGCAGGAAAGGGGGCGGGGCUGUCCCUUGGCUUCCGCUCAACUCAUCCUUGGGUUUGAGGGAAGUGAGAGGCUCCCAGCCCCACUUCCAUCCUCUUCUCAGCAGAGCGAUAGCCCCGCACGGAGGAGGAGAAUCUGGUGAUCACCUCCUUCCCUCCCUGUUGAGUGCUGCGCACACGUCUGCUUCAAAUGCUGGCUCUCUCUCCGAACUGCUAGAAAAUCGCUUUGUUUACUCUGUUUUGCCUGCUGAUUCCUAACCCUGGACCAAGAAUGAAAGGCUCAGGCAACCUUUUCCUUGACUUUGGAAGAGACUGGCUUUAUUUGAGACUGGCCUCAUCAAUGCUUAGCCCCAUCUGGACAUAUUUCCAAUGCCAGGGCUUUGUGAUAGAAUGCAGAAUGAUCGGACCUGACAAAUUUCAGACUGAUGGAAUAAGGGCUCCCAUUUCCCAGGCAAUUUAAAAGGAACAAAUAAAGAAAGGCCAACAAGGUGGUGGGGCUGGAUGUACUUUCCCUGCUCCUCCAAAGGGCCUGGGGAAGAGACCCACCACCACCAUUGAAUCUGUUACAGACCUGGAGACAUUAUAAUCCUUAUGGAUGGACAACUAGAGUGUCUUCAGGGGAGUGGGAAGCACCAGGAAGCUUGGAGUGACCUGCAGACACAUACAUUUUCAAAAAAAUCUGGACUGCUUUGUGUUUUUUUGUGUUACUGUUUUAUAUAGGCUUUUAAAUAGAGAUAUAUUAUUUUUAUAUUUAAUAUUUUAAUUGUACAUUGUUUUAAUUAUAUUGUAAAGCGCUUUGGGAUUUUUAAAAUAAAAGUAAUGGUUACAAUAAAUA
This is a long non-coding RNA of Hemicordylus capensis (graceful crag lizard), 907 nucleotides long. RefSeq lists it as uncharacterized. The transcript is spliced from 5 exons. Lineage: Eukaryota; Metazoa; Chordata; Lepidosauria; Squamata; Cordylidae. The record is from RefSeq and is a predicted model, not a curated record.